This 423-nucleotide ribosomal RNA is filed under the name uncultured bacterium. RNAcentral's name for it is "bacterial SSU rRNA". It matches the Rfam family "Bacterial small subunit ribosomal RNA", at positions 355 to 776 of the family's 1533-position model. The record is from RNAcentral.
UGAGGAAUAUUGGUCAAUGGUCGAGAGACUGAACCAGCCAAGCCGCGUGAGGGAAGAAGGCGCUAAGCGUCGUAAACCUCUUUUGUCGGGGGACAAAAAAGGGCACGUGUGCCUUAUUGAGUGUACCCGAAGAAAAAGCAUCGGCUAACUCCGUGCCAGCAGCCGCGGUAAUACGGAGGAUGCGAGCGUUAUCCGGAUUUAUUGGGUUUAAAGGGUGCGUAGGCGGGCAGUUAAGUCAGCGGUAAAAGCCCGGAGCUCAACUCCGGCAAGCCGUUGAAACUGGUUGUCUUGAGUUGGAUAGAAGUAUGCGGAAUGCGCGGUGUAGCGGUGAAAUGCAUAGAUAUCGCGCAGAACUCCGAUUGCGAAGGCAGCAUACCGGGUCCAUACUGACGCUGAGGCACGAAAGCGUGGGGAUCGAACAGG